UGCAGUCGAACGCACCUUCGGGUGAGUGGCAGACGGGUGAGUAACACGUGGGAACGUGCCCUUCGGUUCGGGAUAACCCAGGGAAACUUGGGCUAAUACCGGAUACGUCCGUGAGGAGAAAGGUUUACCGCCGAGGGAUCGGCCCGCGUCUGAUUAGCUUGUUGGUGAGGUAAUGGCUCACCAAGGCGACGAUCAGUAGCUGGUCUGAGAGGAUGAUCAGCCACACUGGGACUGAGACACGGCCCAGACUCCUACGGGAGGCAGCAGUGGGGAAUAUUGGACAAUGGGGGGAACCCUGAUCCAGCCAUGCCGCGUGUGUGAAGAAGGCCCUAUGGUUGUAAAGCACUUUAAGCGAGGAGGAGGCUACUGAGACUAAUACUCUUGGAUAGUGGACGUUACUCGCAGAAUAAGCACCGGCUAACUCCGUGCCAGCAGCCGCGGUAAU
This 445-nucleotide ribosomal RNA is filed under the name uncultured bacterium. RNAcentral describes it as "bacterial SSU rRNA". It matches the Rfam family "Bacterial small subunit ribosomal RNA", at positions 56 to 524 of the family's 1533-position model. The record is from RNAcentral.